UAUUAACUUGUAACCACAAAACACAAGACCUGUAUAAUCUUGUCUACGGUGCUUAGAUCAUACUGCCUGUUGGACAUUAUGUUAAAUAUUUCUCGCCAUUUCUGUUGAUUAGACUAGAAGAAAUUUGUAAAUCUGUUACUAUAACAACAUUAUGAUGUCUGAUACGUCACUUCAACAGAUUGUCAAUCACCAGAGUCAUAAUUUCCACGCUUGUAAUGUACAAAUAAGCCAGUACAACAUACAAAAUAAUCUGACAAACCAACUAAAAGAAGAUGUUGACAUUAUGAAGAGUGAAAUACAACAACUCCAAUCAGACAAACAGAGGCAGGCUGACGAGAUACAGAGUCAAGCUGACAAGAUACAGCAACUUGAGUCAAGGGUUAAAGUUGUGGAAAAAACAGGAUUCAAGAAAACAGAUAGAAAUAUACAUAAAAAAAGGAAUGAUGUGAUAACUCUUACACUAGAUUGGCCUGGUUUGAUUCCGACGGCUAUACGUGUUAGUAGAGGUUCAACUAUUAGACAAACAGAAGCGAUAGCACAGAAGGAGUGUACAAGGAAGUAUGGUACAGAUAGUGAUGUUGUUAUUACUGCUAUUUGCAGUAAAAAACAGGAGAAGUGUCGCUACCACUCUAACUACAACAAAGAUCUGGCAUUAGCAGAUUAUGGAGUAGAAGAUUUGGAUAUAGUCAAGUGGUCCACCCGAAGUGCAUUAGGUAUUUAAAUAAAGAGCUGGGCAUACUCGCUAUAAUAUUUUAAAAAUAGACAAAUGAAUGUGUUGAGAUUUUCAGUCAAAUUAUGAAUGUUCUACGUUUUGUCAAGUAUAGUCUUGAAUAUGAUUGAUGCGAUAAUAAACAAGGUAUUGAUUUUCUAAA
Molecule: long non-coding RNA, 872 nt
Organism: Patella vulgata (common limpet)
Lineage: Eukaryota; Metazoa; Mollusca; Gastropoda; Patellidae
Exons: 3
Source: RefSeq, a predicted model, not a curated record